This 253-nucleotide ribosomal RNA is filed under the name uncultured bacterium. Its description in RNAcentral is "partial 16S ribosomal RNA". It matches the Rfam family "Bacterial small subunit ribosomal RNA", at positions 524 to 776 of the family's 1533-position model. The record is from RNAcentral.
UACGAAGGGGGCUAGCGUUGUUCGGAAUUACUGGGCGUAAAGGGCUCGUAGGUGGCCAACUAAGUCAACCGUGAAAUCCCUCGGCUUAACCGGGGAACUGCGUUUGAUACUGGAUGGCUUGAGUUUGGGAGAGGGAUGCGGAAUUCCAGGUGUAGCGGUGAAAUGCGUAGAUAUCUGGAGGAACACCGGUGGCGAAGGCGGCAUCCUGGACCAAUACUGACACUGAGGAGCGAAAGCCAGGGGAGCAAACGGG